AGGAAAAACUGCCCAGAAACCGUAACAACAUAAUGUAGUAAGACCAUUGUAAGUCAGUUUCUACAGCCAUGUUAUAGUCUGUUAGCACCCUCUAAUGGUAGAAAGUUGGCACAGCAGCCAGUCUGUCUGUUAAGUCAAGGCAGUCGACAAGUGACCAGUACACUAUACUGUAUGUGUAAGUUGACUACAAGAGAGGGAGUAACGUGCUUGAGAAAGGAGUUGCAGCCAAAAUCGGUGAUCUUCACCACCAUGCGGUUGUCCACCACACAGUUGGUAGACUUGAGGCGUCCAUGCACCUGGAUGUCACUAGCAUGCAGAAGUGGAUGAAAAAGUGGGAAACUUUGAGCGCGGGCGGCAGUAGGCGCUGCAGGUUGACCGUGUAAUCGCAGGAGGUGCCGAAGCUGCCUGCUGAGAUGAUGGGCGUGCUCAGUUUGAGACCCUUCUCAGCACUGCCAGAAGGGAGCGAGAGGACACAGGAGUAUGAAACCUGCUGCAGUGCAUUUGUGGAGGGAUGUCUGAAGACGCAAAGAGAGAUUUCAAAUGUGCCUACACUUACUCAACCAUGUGGAAAGCAGCUAAUGUGCA
This is a long non-coding RNA of Dunckerocampus dactyliophorus (ringed pipefish), 585 nucleotides long. RefSeq lists it as uncharacterized. The record is from RefSeq and is a predicted model, not a curated record. Lineage: Eukaryota; Metazoa; Chordata; Actinopteri; Syngnathiformes; Syngnathidae. The transcript is spliced from 3 exons.